This is a long non-coding RNA of Dromiciops gliroides (monito del monte), 315 nucleotides long. RefSeq lists it as uncharacterized. The transcript has 3 exons. NCBI's taxonomy places the organism in Eukaryota, Metazoa, Chordata, Mammalia, Microbiotheria, Microbiotheriidae. The record is from RefSeq and is a predicted model, not a curated record.
UGGGACUUGUCAGUCUUGGUCUCUGAUGGGCAUCCCUGGAAGGCAGAUUCUGGAUAAUCAAGGGUUCUUGUGCUGUAGCAGGAGGGCUUAAUGUAAUAUUUCAUGUACUUCUUAACUGAUAAGGCCAUGAGGCAUAGGUGAACAAGAAGUGACUUACCAAUGGCCCCAUAAAUGGGAGAAAGAAGCAACAGCAUCCUGAGUCUCUCAGACACUGUGGAUAGUGGCCCGGCAUCAUGGGAACAUAUCUGGACAGGUUGGGGAAGGCAUCCCAUACUGACAGGCACUGCCUACCUCAUUAUCCUCAUUCUCUGGCCC